This 253-nucleotide ribosomal RNA is filed under the name uncultured bacterium. RNAcentral's name for it is "partial 16S ribosomal RNA". It matches the Rfam family "Bacterial small subunit ribosomal RNA", at positions 524 to 776 of the family's 1533-position model. The record is from RNAcentral.
UACGUAGGGUGCGAGCGUUAAUCGGAAUUACUGGGCGUAAAGCGUGCGCAGGCGGUCGUGCAAGACAGGUGUGAAAUCCCCGGGCUUAACCUGGGAACUGCGCUUGUGACUGCACGACUGGAGUGCGGCAGAGGGGGGUGGAAUUCCACGUGUAGCAGUGAAAUGCGUAGAGAUGUGGAGGAACACCGAUGGCGAAGGCAGCCCCCUGGGUCGACACUGACGCUCAGGCACGAAAGCGUGGGGAGCAAACAGG